GACGAACGCUGGCGGCGUGCUUAACACAUGCAAGUCGAACGGAAAGGCCCUGCUUUUGUGGGGUGCUCGAGUGGCGAACGGGUGAGUAACACGUGAGUAACCUGCCCUUGACUUUGGGAUAACUUCAGGAAACUGGGGCUAAUACCGGAUAGGGGCUCCUGCUGCAUGGUGGAGGUUGGAAAGUUUCGGCGGUUGGGGAUGGACUCGCGGCUUAUCAGCUUGUUGGUGGGGUAGUGGCUUACCAAGGCUUUGACGGGUAGCCGGCCUGAGAGGGUGACCGGCCACAUUGGGACUGAGAUACGGCCCAGACUCCUACGGGAGGCAGCAGUGGGGAAUAUUGCACAAUGGGCGGAAGCCUGAUGCAGCAACGCCGCGUGCGGGAUGACGGCCUUCGGGUUGUAAACCGCUUUCGCCUGUGACGAAGCGUGAGUGACGGUAAUGGGUAAAGAAGCACCGGCUAACUACGUG
Molecule: ribosomal RNA, 468 nt
Filed under: uncultured bacterium
Lineage: Bacteria
Description: partial 16S ribosomal RNA
Rfam family: Bacterial small subunit ribosomal RNA
Source: RNAcentral